UUUCCACAUUCUAUGGAAGAAGCUUCCUUCUCAUUUCUGUAUUCUUUGAUGAUGAGUAAUUUAAUUGUUUUGAAUAAAGCUCAUUCCAUAGAUUUAUAAUAUCUCUUCUGUGCACAUAAUUUUAUGAUAUUUUUCAUUGUCCUUUCC
Molecule: non-coding RNA, 147 nt
Organism: Pseudonaja textilis
Lineage: Eukaryota; Metazoa; Chordata; Lepidosauria; Squamata; Elapidae
Source: RefSeq, a predicted model, not a curated record